Long non-coding RNA from Thalassophryne amazonica, 374 nucleotides. RefSeq lists it as uncharacterized. The transcript has 3 exons. The record is from RefSeq and is a predicted model, not a curated record. Lineage: Eukaryota; Metazoa; Chordata; Actinopteri; Batrachoidiformes; Batrachoididae.
GAUGACAGCUGUGUGCUGAUGUGAGCAGGCGAAAACAACUCUGAUCCAAAUAAAUCUCUGAAACCACUUUCAUCUGUGUCUACAAACUGCGAUACUUCAAGAGAAAUGACACAGGAAAUCCGCGAUGCCAUCAGACGCAUGAUGCAGAAGAUGCGGGGCGAGGAGGUAGACGAAAGACGGCCCAAGAAAACCAGAAAAGCAGCAUCGAGCCAGACAAAAGGACAAGGGGCUGGGAAGUCCAGUGAGGACAACUUCACGUCUAGGCCCACUCCGAAUGGCUAUGACCUGACAGUGGCCCAGUGUGGACCCUGAGGGUAAGCUGAGAGCUGGAAAGUAGAACGGCGGGCAGAUAAUGAGACCAACACACAGAAACA